RNAcentral lists this unclassified non-coding RNA (192 nucleotides) under Glomeraceae sp. RNAcentral's name for it is "partial contains 5.8S ribosomal RNA and internal transcribed spacer 2". The stretch from base 1 to 71 matches the Rfam family "5.8S ribosomal RNA", at positions 84 to 154 of the family's 154-position model. The record is from RNAcentral. Lineage: Eukaryota; Fungi; Glomeromycota; Glomeromycetes; Glomerales; Glomeraceae.
GUGAAUCAUCAAAUUUUUGAACGCAAAUUGCACUCCCUGGUAUUCCGGGGAGUAUGCCUGUUUGAGGGUCGUUAGAAUAAAAAUCGAUGCGUCGCUCUUUUGGUGAAGGGUGAGCGCGUCGGAAUUGAGCCGUCUUUCAAUUGUUAAUUCAUGUCAAAGUGGCUUUAAUUGCAUCCAUCCGAUACGAUUAAA